Molecule: long non-coding RNA, 1027 nt
Organism: Macadamia integrifolia
Lineage: Eukaryota; Viridiplantae; Streptophyta; Magnoliopsida; Proteales; Proteaceae
Exons: 3
Source: RefSeq, a predicted model, not a curated record
UCAGCACAAGCUCCCAAGGCAAGGCAGCUUUGCCACCAACACCGAGGGUUCCAACUCCAGUUACUACUCCUCCUGCUUCGCAACCACUGGCCAUGGCGGUGACCCCCGUAUCCAGCUUCGCCCUCAAAUGUUCAUAGAAUAGAGAGAAGAAAGCUCCUGUAUAGAGAAAGUAAAAUUUCAGAAAGCCUCUCUCUCUCAAUGUUUGCCUCAACGUACAUUCAAAAUCCGAAACCAGGGAAUUAAAGCAUAGCGUUGCCAAAACUGAGCAUGUUGAGGGUUCAAGUUUCAUCCUUGCAGAGAGGCUAGCUCCGAUCUUGUCCAAGCAACCAUGACCAUUCUCUAUUCAACUUAAACAUGACUCAUCAGGGCCCCCGAUCAAAUUCAGGACAUAAUCCCUUCUGAUGGUCUUGGAGUGCUCCGUCAAACUUUGUUCCUCUACUCCUCCUAGAGGUUUAGCUGUGGAUCUGAAUUAACAGAUGUGGUGGUGUUGAUUUCUGGUCUCCAUCCACCGUUGGUUGGGCUAUUAUGAAGAAGUGGUGGAUGAAGCAGAGAUGAAGACCCAGAAACAAGGGAGUCCCUUGCCGCUGUGCCAACUCAACGCAGGAACGAACUAGAGGAGAAUGGUCGAAACCUCUUGAUAUAUAUAUAUAUAUUGCCGAGCCUUACAAGCAGAGAUCGAUGAAGCCUCAGAAACUUGCUUCGCUUGUGAUGCUUGACAAUAUCAAAAGAGGUUCAACCAUUCUCCUGUAGUUUGUUCCUGCGUUGAGCUGGUGCAUAGGCAAGGGACUCACUUCUUUCUGGGCUUCUCCCAAUAGCAAACGCAGUGAAUCUCAGAUUGUCCAUAUUGGGAAACAGUUUAUUUCACUGUUAAAGGGCCUAAUAUUUAAUAUAAUGGUUGCAAAAGUUUCACAAUAAAAUGCUUUUUGAUAAGUUGGGUUACAACUUAAUUGAAAAGAAAAUUCCUUCUUAUAAUGUGGUCUGCUUCCCACUAUUUUGGUCAAUUUAAUGCUUAUGUGUUUAUUCCUUC